Molecule: ribosomal RNA, 473 nt
Filed under: uncultured bacterium
Lineage: Bacteria
Description: partial 16S ribosomal RNA
Rfam family: Bacterial small subunit ribosomal RNA
Source: RNAcentral
GGUGAACGCUGGCGGCGUGCCUAAGACAUGCAAGUCGAGCGGGCCGCGGGGUUUUACUCCGUGGUCAGCGGCGGACGGGUGAGUAACGCGUGGGUGACCUACCCGGAAGAGGGGGACAACCCGGGGAAACUCGGGCUAAUCCCCCAUGUGGACCCGCCCCUUGGGGUGUGUCCAAAGGGCUUUGCCCGCUUCCGGAUGGGCCCGCGUCCCAUCAGCUAGUUGGUGGGGUAAUGGCCCACCAAGGCGACGAGGGGUAGCCGGCCUGAGAGGGUGGCCGGCCAAAGGGGCACUGAGAAACGGGAACGACGCCUACGGGAGGCAGAAGGUAGGAAUCGACCGAAAUGGGCGCAAGCCUGACGGAGCGACGCCGCUUGGAGGAAGGAGCCCUGCGGGGUGUAAACUCCUGAACCCGGGACGAAACCCACGACGAGGGGACUGAAGGUACCGGGGGAAUAGCGCCGGCCAACUCCGUG